Temnothorax curvispinosus is the source of this 995-nucleotide long non-coding RNA. RefSeq lists it as uncharacterized. The transcript has 2 exons. NCBI's taxonomy places the organism in Eukaryota, Metazoa, Arthropoda, Insecta, Hymenoptera, Formicidae. The record is from RefSeq and is a predicted model, not a curated record.
CAGUGAUGAUGUUAAAAAAGAAGGGGAAAUUUUGACGGAAAUGUUGGAGAUAGUAGCAAAAAGGGAUUCCUUAAUCGUCCUAUUGGAGGAAGAACGACAAAGAUAUCAGAACGAAGACCGCGACCUCGAAGCUCAAAUGCUGGCUAAAGGCCUGAGAUUAACGCCAAUUAAAAAAUGUGGUCCUAAAUAUUCAGUCUAAGGGAGAUACGCUUCUGUACAUACAUUCUCCGCUACAGUUUUUUAUCGCAUGAUAACACCAGAAGAAAGAUAUAUAUAUAUAUAUAUAUAUAUAUAUAUAUAAUUUGUAAAUAGUUUAGGUGGCGCAAAGGACGUUGAAGAAGAUGGAAGGGAGACUCGUGUAUGCCUAGAAUAUUUCUGCCCAUUUUCAAUAUAUUCAAUAUUUAAUAAACAUAUCUUUUUUACAAAUACUUUUUUAGAUAAUUAAAAUCCUUAAUUUUUUACAUGAAAAUAAACCACGUAAAAUCUGCUUCAUCGACAUAAUACAUAUAAUUUAAUUGCAUAAAUGAGACAUACGCUGCAUUGCCAUUACGACGUGCAACAUAAAAUAAGAUUUUAUUGCAAAAUGUCAGGAAGGUGCGAUACUGUGAACGUAAAUAAAUACUUGGAUUUGUAAAUUUCCUUGCAAUGUGAAAUAAAAUUGACGUGGUUUAUUCUUAUUUUUAAAGAUGGACCAAACGCGCUGUUUUAUGGUUCUGGCGUUAAAAUCAUGGAAUGUGUAUGACAUUUAAACGUAUUAUGCGCAAAAUCCAGUGUAUAUAACUUUAGCGAUAUGGUAGGGCUAGGGCGAUCAAAUUAACCAAAGGAUGCUCUUUAAUUAAUCGUUUGUAUUUAUGAAAUUCGAAAGCGGGAGAGCUCUUAUAAUAUAUUUUGUAGGUGAAGAGUACAAGUAUAGAAAAGCGUUUUUAUAUUUUAUACAGUACCUAUGUAAAUUAUGUAUACAACACAAAUCGAUGUAAAAUUUUGCUACUACAUUA